GACGAACCUGACGAACGUUAUUCGGAAUCACUGGGCUUAAAGGGUGCGUAGGCUGUGCAGAAAGUUGGGUGUGAAAUCCCUCGGCUUAACCGAGGAACUGCGCCCAAAACUACUGUGCUUGAGUGAGAUAGAGGUGAGCGGAACUUAGGGUGGAGCGGUGAAAUGCGUUGAUAUCCUAAGGAACACCGGUGGCGAAAGCGGCUCACUGGGUCGCUACUGACGCUGAUGCACGAAAGCUAGGGUAGCGAACGGG
This 253-nucleotide ribosomal RNA is filed under the name uncultured bacterium. Its description in RNAcentral is "partial 16S ribosomal RNA". It matches the Rfam family "Bacterial small subunit ribosomal RNA", at positions 524 to 776 of the family's 1533-position model. The record is from RNAcentral.